CCUACGGGAGGCAGCAGUCGGGAAUUUUGGGCAAUGGGCGAAAGCCUGACCCAGCAACGCCGCGUGAAGGAUGAAGUCUUUCGGGAUGUAAACUUCGUGAGAAUAGGAAGAAUAAAUGACGGUACUAUUUGUAAGGUCCGGCUAACUACGUGCCAGCAGCCGCGGUAAUACGUAGGGACCAAGCGUUGUUCGGAUUUACUGGGCGUAAAGGGCGCGUAGGCGGCAAUUCAAGUCAUCUGUGAAAUCUCCGGGCUUAACUCGGAACGGUCAGAUGAUACUGCUUUGCUAGAGUGCAGAAGGGGCAAUCGGAAUUCUUGGUGUAGCGGUGAAAUGCGUAGAUAUCAAGAGGAACACCGGAGGCGAAGGCGGAUUGCUAGGCUGACACUGACGCUGAGGCGCGAAAGCCAGGGGAGCAAACGGGAUUAGAUACCCCGGUAGUCCUAGCCCUAAACGAUGAAUACUUGGUGUCUGGAGUUUUAUUCUCCGGGUGCCGUCGCUAACGUUUUAAGUAUUCCGCCUGGGGAGUACGCACGCAAGUGUGAAACUCAAAGGAAUUGACGG
Molecule: ribosomal RNA, 561 nt
Filed under: uncultured bacterium
Lineage: Bacteria
Description: bacterial SSU rRNA
Rfam family: Bacterial small subunit ribosomal RNA
Source: RNAcentral